Molecule: ribosomal RNA, 511 nt
Filed under: Aquiloeurycea cf. rubrimembris IBH CNAR 32552
Lineage: Eukaryota; Metazoa; Chordata; Amphibia; Caudata; Plethodontidae
Also listed under: 1 other name
Description: partial large subunit ribosomal RNA
Rfam family: Bacterial large subunit ribosomal RNA
Source: RNAcentral
CCUUUUGAACUAUAAACAUAAAAGGUCCUGCCUGCCCAGUGACUUGUUUUUAACGGCCGCGGUAUUAUGACCGUGCAAAGGUAGCGUAAUCACUUGUCUUUUAAAUAAAGACCAGUAUGAACGGCAAGACGAAAGCCUAACUGUCUCCCUAGAUUAGUCAAUGAAAUUGAUUUUCCCGUGCAGAAACGGGAAUAUUAUUAUAAGACGAGAAGACCCUGUGGAGCUUCAAACUUAAGCUAACAAACCAUAAUGCCUUAGCACCCAGUUUUAGGUUGGGGUGACCACGAGGUAAAACAUAACCCUCGAGAUAAACAAAGAAAGACACUUCAAAUAAUAUUCACAACACAUUGACCCAAUAUUUGCUCAACGAACCAAGUUACCCCAGGGAUAACAGCGCAAUCUACUCAAAGAGCCCAUAUCGACGAGCAGGUUUACGACCUCGAUGUUGGAUCAGGACUCCCCAAUAACGCAACAGUUAUUAAAGGUUCGUUUGUUCAACGAUUAAAGUCCU